This 1398-nucleotide ribosomal RNA is filed under the name Staphylococcus cohnii subsp. cohnii. Its description in RNAcentral is "bacterial LSU rRNA". It matches the Rfam family "Bacterial large subunit ribosomal RNA", at positions 1529 to 2925 of the family's 2925-position model. Lineage: Bacteria; Bacillati; Bacillota; Bacilli; Caryophanales; Staphylococcaceae. The record is from RNAcentral.
GUGUUAGGCAAAUCCGGCACUCAUAAGGUCAAGCUGUGAUGGGGAGAGGAAAUUGUUUCCUCGAGUCGUUGAUUUCACACUGCCGAGAAAAGCCUCUAGCUAGAUUUAUGGUGCCCGUACCGCAAACCGACACAGGUAGUCAAGAUGAGAAUUCUAAGGUGAGCGAGCGAACUCUCGUUAAGGAACUCGGCAAAAUGACCCCGUAACUUCGGGAGAAGGGGUGCUCUUUAGGGUUCACGCCCAGGAGAGCCGCAGUGAAUAGGCCCAAGCGACUGUUUAUCAAAAACACAGGUCUCUGCUAAACCGUAAGGUGAUGUAUAGGGGCUGACGCCUGCCCGGUGCUGGAAGGUUAAGAGGAGUGGUUAGCUUCUGCGAAGCUACGAAUCGAAGCCCCAGUAAACGGCGGCCGUAACUAUAACGGUCCUAAGGUAGCGAAAUUCCUUGUCGGGUAAGUUCCGACCCGCACGAAAGGCGUAACGAUUUGGGCACUGUCUCAACGAGAGACUCGGUGAAAUCAUAGUACCUGUGAAGAUGCAGGUUACCCGCGACAGGACGGAAAGACCCCGUGGAGCUUUACUGUAGUCUGAUAUUGAAAUUCGGUACAGCUUGUACAGGAUAGGUAGGAGCCUUAGAUACGUGAGCGCUAGCUUACGUGGAGGCGUUGGUGGGAUACUACCCUCGCUGUAUUGGAUUUCUAACCCGCACCAUUAAUCAUGGUGGGAGACAGUGUCAGAUGGACAGUUUGACUGGGGCGGUCGCCUCCUAAAGAGUAACGGAGGCGCUCAAAGGUUUCCUCAGAAUGGUUGGAAAUCAUUCAUAGAGUGUAAAGGCACAAGGAAGCUUGACUGCGAGACUUACAAGUCGAGCAGGGUCGAAAGACGGACUUAGUGAUCCGGUGGUUCCGCAUGGAAGGGCCAUCGCUCAACGGAUAAAAGCUACCCCGGGGAUAACAGGCUUAUCUCCCCCAAGAGUUCACAUCGACGGGGAGGUUUGGCACCUCGAUGUCGGCUCAUCGCAUCCUGGGGCUGUAGUCGGUCCCAAGGGUUGGGCUGUUCGCCCAUUAAAGCGGUACGCGAGCUGGGUUCAGAACGUCGUGAGACAGUUCGGUCCCUAUCCGUCGUGGGCGUAGGAAAUUUGAGAGGAGCUGUCCUUAGUACGAGAGGACCGGGAUGGACAUACCUCUGGUGUACCAGUUGUCGUGCCAACGGCAUCGCUGGGUAGCUAUGUAUGGACGGGAUAAGUGCUGAAAGCAUCUAAGCAUGAAGCCCCCCUCAAGAUGAGAUUUCCCAACUUCGGUUAUAAGAUCCCUCAAAGAUGAUGAGGUUAAUAGGUUCGAGGUGGAAGCAUAGCGAUAUGUGGAGCUGACGAAUACUAAUCGAUCGAAGACUUAAUCAAAUU